AGUGAACGCUGGCGGUAGGCCUAACACAUGCAAGUCGAACGGCAGCACAGAGGAGCUUGCUCCUUGGGUGGCGAGUGGCGGACGGGUGAGGAAUACAUCGGAAUCUACUCUGUCGUGGGGGAUAACGUAGGGAAACUUACGCUAAUACCGCAUACGACCUACGGGUGAAAGCAGGGGACCUUCGGGCCUUGCGCGAUUGAAUGAGCCGAUGUCGGAUUAGCUAGUUGGCGGGGUAAAGGCCCACCAAGGCGACGAUCCGUAGCUGGUCUGAGAGGGCGAUAAGCCACACUGGAACGGAGACACGGUCCAGACUCCGACGGGAGGCAGCAGUGGGGAAUAUUGGACAAUGGGCGCAAGCCUGAUCCAGCCAUACCGCGUGGGUGAAGAAGGCCUUCGGGUUGUAAAGCCCUUUUGUUGGGAAAGAAAUCCAGCUGGCUAAUACCCGGUUGGGAUGACGGUACCCAAAGAAUAAGCACCGGCUAACUUCGUGCCAGCAGCCGCCGUAA
RNAcentral lists this ribosomal RNA (506 nucleotides) under uncultured bacterium. Its description in RNAcentral is "partial 16S ribosomal RNA". It matches the Rfam family "Bacterial small subunit ribosomal RNA", at positions 29 to 523 of the family's 1533-position model. The record is from RNAcentral.